CGCUGCUACUGCCUCUGAGCGGGGCGGCGGCGGGGGCGAGCCCGGCGGGGAGCGAGAGGGACUGGGACGAGGUGAGGCCUGCUCUGCCCGCGGAAGCCCCGGGCUCUCCUGCUCCCUCCACCGCCGCCGCCGGGGAGGCCCGGGCUUUCUUCCGCGGGGGCGGGGAGGCUCCGCCGGUGUCCGAGUCGGAGGAGGAGGAAGCGGAGGCCAGAGUUUCCUCACCGAGAGCGGCCGUGGUGGGAAGCCGGGAGGGCGAGGAGGGGGAGGGCGGGGGGGGAGGGGGAAGGGGGUGAGGGGAGGCGGAGCGGAGCCCUAUGCCCCCCGGGGGUCCCGGAGGCAGCGCCGCAGCCCGCUCGGGGCUCCCUCUGGCGAUGGCGGCCGCCGCUGCCCUGAGCCCCCGGCCGGCAGCCCCAGGCGCCCGGCCCGCUCCCGUUUGCUGCCCGCUGGGUUUGUCUCCUCUCAGCCCAGCUGCAGCUUAAUGGAGUCCGGGCCGGGACGUCACAGGAAAUUCCUAUACUGCCCCCUACACACACUUCCGCCGCCCGGGGCUGGGGGUGGGGUAUGGGCCCUAUAGGUGCCGGGGGGCGCGACAGGGCAGGCCUCAAGGCCGCUGCAGGGGCCUCCCGGAUCGCUCCUGUAGUGCCCGGCUGGUCUGCGAGGGGGAAUUGCAGAGAAGAUGGCACAAGGCUUCUCUCUGAGAUGUGCAGCAACAGGACAAGAGACAAAAGUGAGAAGCUGCAUCCAGGGAAGUUCCAGUUGUGGGAUGAAGAAUGGUUUUGUCUUCCAGCUUCUGAUAAGAAAAACAAAAGUAAAAGAAGACACAGGUAUGUGCUAGCUGGAAGAAACCUGUUCCAACACUCGGAUUAUAAGAAAAAGAGUAUGUUGAGAGAAGAAAGAAGUCUGACAUACUUUCUACUUGAUCUGAAAUUCAUCUCCAUGCAUCAGCUUUCUGAGUAUUUUUUAAUGCUGUAGUCCCACGUUACAGGUAUAUGCUGCAGGAUAAAGAGCAUCAGUCCCUUCUGGAAAUGCCUUGGGAAUACAUUACCUGGAGGAAGCACGAGAAUUUGUGAAAUUCUGAAGAGAGAAGAACAAAAGGUACUAAAUCUGAGGCUGUGGCUGCUAAAAUGAGCUGCUGAGCACUGGAGAGCUGCAGAACCUCUGCACCUGUUAUUUCCAGUAAUAGAAAAGAAACCCAAGUGUCUCAAAGGUGUGGAUGCUAUUUUGUUUGGUUUGGGAGAAGUGUUAAAUAAAAUAACCGUUCUGAAAGCAAAAGUUCUUUUCUAAAGGUGGCUAUUCUCUGUAUUCAUCUGGUUUCCCUAUUCCAAUUCCCUUCAGCUGAUAAUGCUGCGUCCUCAGGUCCCACACCCUCCAUCGUGGCCUGUGUAACAUGCAGUAUUUCAAAGGAGCACAGCUGGGUGCUGGACUGUAAUUUGUCAUGCAGCUAGGACCACAUCCAUCAGUUUAUUUGAAGGUAAGGACCAGCACCUUGGAAGUGGAUGGAGAGCUAAUGGACUCAUGUUUCUGCUGUGUUCACAGGGACUUAAACCAGGGAGAAAAGGGUCAGGCACGUCCAUAUAAUUUCACUUUUUGCCUUAGAUGCCAUGAUUUGUAGUAGUUUGGUCAGAAAUUACAAAGGAGCAGCUCUCUGCUAUGAGUUCCUCAUGCCAUAGAGAGCUGUAAUGAGUUUAUACCAACAUGGAGCUAAGAGUUUUCAGUCAGUACUGGGACAAAUUUCAGAGAUGCAUUGAGUGAAGGGUAAAUCUUUCCAUCACUUAAAUAUCUCAGGAUACUUAAGGUAUCCUCAUGGUAUAGUAUAAGAGGUCAGUGGGACAGAAGUGUCCUAAAUGCAUCUUGAUAGAUUUUCCUGUCACUGUAUAUCAGAAACCGUUGUAAUUAGUCAGCCACUAGCAAUGAAUAAUGGCUAGAAAUAUGGCUAAUGGAAAAUACAUGUUUCAGAAUCAGUAUUGGGAAAGACUGUGGGAUCUUGAAAGUGUUUGGCUGUGGAACUGUCUCCUUGCAAAAUGAGAAACAAGUAUUUUGCCUCUGUGUUCAUUGCAGAUCUCCAAAUACAUAGCUGGAGUGUAAAUUAAGACAAGAGACAGUAAAACCCAGAAUAGUUGCCUUGGAGUGUAGUCCUAAACUCAGUUUAAUGGUUGGUUUCACUUUGUCUUUUAUAAUACCUACAGUAUAUCUCUACUUUUAUAGGUAUGCAUGUAUAUGUGUGUGUAUACAUACAAGUGUUCCAGAAAGAAAUGUUUUAUUUUGGUUUUCUUGCAAGUAUCAGUAUUUCAAUCUUAACACAGGUGCAUCCAGAUAUUAAAGUAACCAUGGCAAAAAAUAGAAUAAUAAAAAAAGAAUUCCAAAGACUUCUUCUGUACCUAAUUUGCAGCUCUUUUCAAAAUGUGUGGUUAUGAAUAAACCAUUUACUUUCACAAGCAUAGGCUCUGCAGGAUUUCAGAUACAAAAGAAUUAAAAGGUCAGAGAAUUACAAUGCCUUUACUGCAUUCCUGUAUGACAGCAAAGUUUGUUACUAUUUGCCGUGUUCAUCCUUAAUUAAAGCAUCAAAUCACAUGUAUAGUCUGGAGCAGCUCAAUUAUGAAAGGUUACAUCCAUCAGUUUCUUCUUGUUUAUUAAUGGCUGGCCCUGACUCUUGAUUCAGUCAGCACUCUUUCAUGAGGAUAAAAGUACAUAUUAUGUUC
RNAcentral lists this long non-coding RNA (2699 nucleotides) under Melopsittacus undulatus (budgerigar). RNAcentral describes it as "lncRNA (ENSMUNG00000020835.1)". Lineage: Eukaryota; Metazoa; Chordata; Aves; Psittaciformes; Psittaculidae. The record is from RNAcentral.